CUACAACUGACUGGAAAUUGUUUGUUGUUGUUAUUGUUGUUGUUAGCCUCAAGACUAGAGCUGAAACAACUAAUCGAUUUAAUCGAUUAUAAUCGAUUAUUAAAAUAGUUAACAACUUUUUUAGUCAUCGAUUAGUUGUUUAAUAAUCAUAUUUUACCGCAUAAAGUCUAUUUUUACCACAAUCUGACAUCGGUUACAAGCUGUUAAAUUUGCCGCCAGUGUGUGGCAGUAAUGAGCCACUGAUCUACCAGUGGAGCCGUAGAAGAAGAAAUGAGCCAAUGAGUGCCCUCGGUUUUCAUGACGUAUCACGUUACUGACGCUCAUCUUGCUGUGAGAGAUGGCGGAACAAGAGGAAAUACGGAAGAAAAAUAGAAGCGACAAAACUGAAGAGAAACCCCGGACAAAAACCUCACGAGUAUGGGAGCACUUUACUCUAGAUGCCUUGAAAAGACGGGUGACCUGUAAAAUAUGCAAAAACCAUCUAGCAUAGCACGGAAGCACGACGUCCCUAAGUGAACAUUUGAGACGAAAACAUGUGGGGGCUGAUGCAGCAGAGGAAGAGCACCGCGGUCAAGUGAGCCGUCAUUUGGAAGAGCCAGCCCGAAAAAAAAACAAGCAACGAUGGACAACUACAUGGGGAACAAGACACUCACCCCCCAGCAAUUCAUACCACUUACAAACUCUAUUCUAAACAUGCUGGUAAAAGACAUGAGGCCACUAUCCAUGGUGGAAGGAGCAGGCUUCCAGCUAAUGCUAAAAAAUUAUUCUGGACUGAUAUUUUGCACUGUUUAGCUCAUUUUAUACUGCUGACUGUGUUCAUGUGCAAUAAAAUAGAUUGCAGUCAACU
This is a non-coding RNA of Nothobranchius furzeri (turquoise killifish), 847 nucleotides long. Lineage: Eukaryota; Metazoa; Chordata; Actinopteri; Cyprinodontiformes; Nothobranchiidae. The record is from RefSeq and is a predicted model, not a curated record.